Molecule: ribosomal RNA, 796 nt
Filed under: uncultured bacterium
Lineage: Bacteria
Description: bacterial SSU rRNA
Rfam family: Bacterial small subunit ribosomal RNA
Source: RNAcentral
AGAGUUUGAUCAUGGCUCAGAACGAACGCUGGCGGCGCGCCUAAUACAUGCAAGUCGAGCGAGAAGACGUAGCAAUACGUUUGUAAAGCGGCGAACGGGUGGGGAAUACAUGGGUAACCUACCCUCGAGUGGGGAAUAACUAGCCGAAAGGUUAGCUAAUACCGCGUACGCUUCUUGGACUUCGGUUCAGGGAGGAAAGCGAUACCGUGGGUAUCGCGCUCUUGGAUGGGCUCAUGUCCUAUCAGCUUGUUGGUGAGGUAACGGCUCACCAAGGCUUCGACGGGUAGCUGGUCUGAGAGGACGAUCAGCCACACUGGCACUGCGACACGGGCCAGACUCCUACGGGAGGCAGCAGUAAGGAAUAUUGCGCAAUGGGCGAAAGCCUGACGCAGCGACGCCGCGUGGGGGAUGAAGGUCUUCGGAUUGUAAACCCCUUUCGGGAGGGAAGAUGGAAUGGGGUAACCCAUUCGGACGGUACCUCCAGAAGCAGCCACGGCUAACUUCGUGCCAGCAGCCGCGGUAAUACGAAGGUGGCAAGCGUUGUUCGGAUUUACUGGGCGUACAGGGAGCGUAGGCGGUUCGGUAAGCCCUCUGUGAAAUCUCCAGGCUUAACCUGGAACAGUCGGAGGGGACUGCCGGGCUAGAGGACGGGAGAGGAGCGCGGAAUUCCCGGUGUAGCGGUGAAAUGCGUAGAGAUCGGGAGGAAGGCCGGUGGCGAAGGCGGCGCUCUGGAACGUUUCUGACGCUGAGGCUCGAAAGCGUGGGGAGCAAACAGGAUUAGAUACCCUAGUAGUCC